Molecule: unclassified non-coding RNA, 1034 nt
Filed under: Bactrocera tryoni
Lineage: Eukaryota; Metazoa; Arthropoda; Insecta; Diptera; Tephritidae
Description: uncharacterized LOC120768656, transcript variant X2
Source: RNAcentral
GUCGUUUUCUUCUUUUCUCUCCCGUCCAUAUGCAAUUAGUAUUGAAUUCAAUAUUUCAAUAGGCGCCAAUUAUAGCGGUAUUUUACGCCUCUUCGAGCAGAAAAUUAGAAGCUGCUAAUUUGUUUUUAAUUCGUAUAGUUCUAGUUUCAAUUCAACGAGCAGCGAGUGUGGGUGAAAGUGAAAAUUAUUUGUUUUUAUUAUCUGAUCGAUUUUUGGUAGUUUAAAAACAAUAAAUAUGGAUCAGACAAAUAUGGAUAGGGUUCUUUCAGAAACAUAAUCUUUAUUUAAAAAGUGGGAAUUAUGUGACGAUGUGUGCACUCUAUUAAAAAUGCAUUAAUUCAUCACAUUCCAAAUAUUAAAAAAAUGGAAAUUGAAGAUGAGUUUACGCUCUUCAAUAAAUUUGAAAAUAAGUUCUUCGGUGAAAUGAUAAAAUUCAAGGCAAGGCUCAGAGAAUGGCGAAUAAUUGUGGAAACAUAUAUAUAUACCGCGAAAAUAUGACAAGAAACAAUCCUUCAGGCAAAUUAUUUUCAUGCUAGACAAACGUAACUAAAGCUCACAUCAAAACUUGUUUUAGGAGAGUAGGAGACCAUUUCAUCAAUUUCAUCUGAUGAAUAUUGCAAAAGAAAGUGUUGGCUACAUCACAACUGCAGUCCAUGGGAACAAAUAAUAAUGUAUUGGAAACCGACAUCGCAGGCGAGAGUUACGGAAAUUAGGGAAAUCGCUUCCUUAAAUGGCAUUUUUUGGGAGUGGCCACGGUAUAACGACUACAGUGGAUGUAAUCUCGUACUUACUUUACUUACGAUAUAUGUAUAUUACAAUACAUUUUAUAUUGAGUAUUUCGUUCUCUUCAUUUUAGUUAAACUUUCAAGCUCUGCGAAAUAUAAUUUUCCUUCAUUCAUAUUAGAAAUUGAUUUUGUAAGCUUAUACCCAGGCAAAGUGAACUUUUUAAUCUUAAAAUUGGAAUAUCUCUAUAAGAAAAAUAUUGGAUAUUUUUGAAAAAGAAAUAAAGAAUCGUCCUUCCAGAGAAUUGUACU